GCCUAAAUAUAAGAGGUCCAGCCUGCCCAGUGACAAAAUUUAACGGCCGCGGUACCCUAACCGUGCGAAGGUAGCAUAAUCACUUGUUCUUUAAAUGAGGACUUGUAUCAACGGCAUCACGAGGGUUAAACUGUCUCCUUUUUCAUAUCAGUGAAACUAAUCUCCCCGUGAAGAAGCGGGGAUAAUCCUAUAAGACGAGAAGACCCCAUGGAGCUUUAAACCCAACUACACCCCUCUUUAACUUUACCUUUAAACACCCGGGAUUUUUGUAUGUUCUGGUUUUAGGUUGGGGUGACCGCGGAGCAUAAAUUAGCCUCCACAAUGAAUAGAUUUUUCUCUUUAUCCAAGACCGACACUUCUAAGAAUUAGUACUCUAACAUAAAAUGAUCCGAUAUUCGAUCAACGAACCAAGUUACCCUGGGGAUAACAGCGCAAUCUACUUUAAGAGCUCCUAUCGACAAGUGGGUUUACGACCUCGAUGUUGGAUCAGGGUAUCCUAGUGGUGCAGCAGCUACUAAAGGUUCGUUUGUUCAACGAUUAAAACCCU
This 547-nucleotide ribosomal RNA is filed under the name Guibemantis liber. RNAcentral's name for it is "partial 16S ribosomal RNA". It matches the Rfam family "Bacterial large subunit ribosomal RNA", at positions 1837 to 2597 of the family's 2925-position model. Lineage: Eukaryota; Metazoa; Chordata; Amphibia; Anura; Mantellidae. The record is from RNAcentral.